AACGAACGCUGGCGGCAUGCCUAACACAUGCAAGUCGAACGAGACCUUUGGGUCUAGUGGCGCACGGGUGCGUAACGCGUGGGAACCUGCCCUUAGGUUCGGAAUAACUCCCCGAAAGGGGUGCUAAUACCGGAUAAUGUCUUCGGACCAAAGAUUUAUCGCCUUUGGAUGGGCCCGCGUUGGAUUAGCUAGUUGGUAGGGUAAAAGCCUACCAAGGCGACGAUCCAUAGCUGGUCUGAGAGGAUGAUCAGCCACACUGGGACUGAGACACGGCCCAGACUCCUACGGGAGGCAGCAGUGGGGAAUAUUGGACAAUGGGCGAAAGCCUGAUCCAGCAAUGCCGCGUGAGUGAUGAAGGCCUUAGGGUUGUAAAGCUCUUUUACCCGGGAUGAUAAUGACAGUACCGGGAGAAUAAGCGCCGGCUAACUCCGUG
RNAcentral lists this ribosomal RNA (433 nucleotides) under uncultured bacterium. RNAcentral's name for it is "partial 16S ribosomal RNA". It matches the Rfam family "Bacterial small subunit ribosomal RNA", at positions 29 to 507 of the family's 1533-position model. The record is from RNAcentral.